Molecule: non-coding RNA, 253 nt
Filed under: uncultured Alphaproteobacteria bacterium
Lineage: Bacteria; Pseudomonadati; Pseudomonadota; Alphaproteobacteria
Also listed under: 1 other name
Description: contains 16S-23S intergenic spacer region
Rfam family: Bacterial small subunit ribosomal RNA
Source: RNAcentral
UACGAAGGGGGCUAGCGUUGCUCGGAAUUACUGGGCGUAAAGGGCGCGUAGGCGGCGCCAGUAGUCAGGCGUGAAAUUCCUGGGCUCAACCUGGGGGCUGCGCUUGAUACGCUGGUGCUAGAGGACGGAAGAGGCUCGCGGAAUUCCCAGUGUAGAGGUGAAAUUCGUAGAUAUUGGGAAGAACACCGGUGGCGAAGGCGGCGAGCUGGUCCGUUACUGACGCUGAGGCGCGACAGCGUGGGGAGCAAACAGG